This is a long non-coding RNA of Gorilla gorilla gorilla (western lowland gorilla), 2481 nucleotides long. RefSeq lists it as uncharacterized. Lineage: Eukaryota; Metazoa; Chordata; Mammalia; Primates; Hominidae. The transcript is spliced from 3 exons. The record is from RefSeq and is a predicted model, not a curated record.
AGUUUCUUCCUUCCGGUGGGCUCGUGGUCUCGCUGACUUAAGGAGUGAAGCCGCAGACCUUUGCAGUGAGUGUUACAGCUCUUAAAGGUGGCACGUCCAGAGUUGUUUGUUCUUCCUGGUGGGUUCGUGGUCUCAUUGACUUCAGGAAUGAAGCCACAGACACUCGCGACAAAAUCUUGCUCUGUCUCCCAGGCUGGAGAGCAGUGGCACGAUCUUGGCUCAUUGCAACCUCCACCUCUUGGUUCCAGCAAUCCUUCUACCCCAGCCUCCAGAGUAGGUGGGAUUACAGACAACUGCUCCGGCUUUUCCUUCCACUAUGAUUGGAAGCUACCUGAGGCCUCCCCAGAAGUAGAAGCCACUAUGCUUCCUGUACAGCCUGCAGAACCAUGAGCCAACUAAACCUCUUCUCUUUAUAAAUAUUCCAGUCUUAGGUAUUUCUUUAUAGCAAUGCAAGAAUGAACUAAUACAGAAUGUGUUUUCAAGAAAUUUGUCUAUUUCAUCUGAAUUUUCAAUUGGAUUGACUAUGAUAUUUCUGUUUUUUUGUUUGUUCAUUUUUGAUGAGGGGAUCUUACUAUGUUGCUCAGGCUGGUUAAAAACUCCUAGACUCAAGCAAUCCUCCCAUUUCAGCCUCCCAAUAGGUGGUAGGAUUUCUAGUUAUCUUGAUUUGUUGAGUCUUUUAUGAAAUAUUCUUUUUGUUUUUAGUAGUAUUAUCAAAACAAAUUUGACUUUGUCUGCUAUUAGAGAAGUCAUAUCAGCUGUCUCUGGUUAGUGUUUUUAUGAUAAACUUAUUUCCAUCCUUUUUGUUUCACCUCUGUGCCAUUUUUAUGGCAUAUCUCUUUAAACAGCAUAUGAUUGGGUUUUUGAUUUUGUAACCAGUCUGACAAUCUUGGUCUUGGUAUACUUACUCAAUAUAUUUGAAGUUAAAACUACCACAUUACAUUUAUUUUUUAUUUGUUCUAUUUGUCCUAUUUCAUUUUCUUCUUUCCCACUUCAACAAAUUAUUUUUAUCUUUCAAUGCCUCCCUCCAGUAGCUUGUUAUUAUAGUUUUUAAAAUUAAACUUUUACUCUUGAGAUAAUUGCACAUUGUCAUACAGUUGUAAGAAGCAUUACAGAGAGACACUGUGUCUUUACCCCAUUUUCUCCAAUGACAAUAUUUUGCAAAACUGUAGUACAGUAUCAUAACCAGGAAUUGACAUUGAUAGUCAAGAUACAGAACAUUUCCAUCACCACAAGGAUCCCUCAAAUUGCCUUUUUAUUGCCUCACCCACUCCCUCCCGUCCCCACUGCCUCCUGAACACCUGGCAACCACUAAGCUGUUCUUUAUUUCUAUAAUUUUGUCAUUUCAAGACAAAAUAUACAAAAAGGCAUGGGCUUAUAUAGUAUGUAACCUUUGGAAUUUUUUUUCUUUUUUGAGACGGAGUCUCGCUCUGUCGCCAAGCUCGAGUGCAGUGGUGCGAUCUCAGGUCACUGCAAUCUCCACCUCCCGGGUUGAAGCAAUUCUCCUGCCUCAGCCUCCAGAGUAGCUGGGACUACAGAUGUGCACCACCACACCCAGCUAAUUUUUGUGUUUUUAGUAGAGAUGGGGUCUCACCAUGUUGGCCAGGAUGGUCUUGAUCUCCUGACCUCAUGAUUUGCCCGCCUCAGCCUCCCAAAGUGUUGGGUUACAGGCGUGAGCCACUGUGCCUGGCCUGGAAUUUUUUUUUUUCCCCUACUCAAUGUAACUCCCUGGAGAUUCAUCCAGGCUGUUGCAUGUAUCAGUAAUUUGUUCCUUUUUAUUGCUGAGUAGUAUGGUAUGGAUUUAGAACAGUUUGUUUAGCCAUUCACCCAGUGAAGGACAUCUGGGUUGUUUCUAGUUUGGGGAUAUUAUGAAUAAAGCUGCUAUAAACAUUAAUGUAUAGAUUUUUGUGAAAAUGUAAGUCUGUAUUUUUCUUUCCUUUUUUCUCCCUACUUACCUUUGGAGAAAGUCCUUCAUUUUUCUGAGGUAAAUUUUCAAGAGUACAAUUGCUGGGCUGUGGGGCAGUUUCAUGCUUAGGUUUUUAAGAAAUUGCAAACUAUUUUCCACAAUGGCUGUAUCAUUCUACAUUCCCAGCAGCAAUGCAUGAGUGAUCCAGCUUCUCUGCAUCCUUGCCAGUAUUUGGUGUUGUCACUAUUUUUAUUUUAUCCAAUCUGAUAGGUGUAUGGUGAUGUGGCAUUGUGUUUUAAUUUGCAUUUUCCUAAUUGCUAAUGAUGUUGAAUAUCUCAUUUGCUUAUGUGCCAUCUGUAAACCAUCUAUGGUAAGUUUUUGUCCAUGUCUUUUUUUAAUUUUCUAAUUGGACUUUUAUUGAGUUUUGAGAGUUCUUUAUAUAUUACGGAUAUUAGUUCCUUGUCAGAUGUGUGGUUUGCAAGUAUUUUCUUCUAGUCUGUAAUUUGCCUUUUACUACUCCUAAUGCUUUUCACAGAGGAAAAUGUAUUAGUUUAAAUAAAGUUCAGUUUUUCCUUACA